CAUUCCACCUCUUGAGCAAGAGAGGGAGGCGAAGUAGAGCACUCACCGACGAGCAGAAACGUUCGAUUCAUUAGGAGAGCGAAAAGAAGAUAGGCCAAAACCUUCGUUGCAUUAGUCGAGGGCGGCGACGACGAGCCACGAGAACCGCCUGCCGAAUUUCCGAUGAGAGCGAGCAAUUAGGAAAGAAAGAGGAGCAGAAGGAGAGCAUGGAAUGAGUGAGAUCAUUCAGCCGCCCCGCGCAACUGUAUCACUCACACACGCAGCUUCCGAUGUCAGUUUCACGUGCAUUAGUCAGCGCCGCGGUCAAAAUUUCGCUCUUUCGUGCCGGAAAAAGCGGGAAAAUUGUGAAAAUACCGGAAAAUAUUACCGACCACUGCAGUGUAGUGCAGUGAAGUGAUUAAACAUUUAAAAAGCAACCCAAAAACCUGGCUUUGUAGUGUUUUUUAUGGUGAAGAGUGGAAAAGUGGCCUGCAUUUGCUGGAAGUUGUGGAAAUAUGUGCAAACAACAAAUAUAUUGAACGCAUUACAUUUUUUCUUGUGCAAAACGCAGCCAAAAUGCCAGCGGCGUCUGCAUGUUCCCGUUAUGUCUGGAGAUGUCUCAAAUUUGUUCGUUCUUAUUUCUGCUGUGUGUGUGAGUGUGUGAGAGUAUGGUAUGCAAAAACAGCAACAAGUCGCUCACCAUUCCCAGAGAGCAGAGGAGCAGAGCAUUGCUCUCGCAAACAAGCACACGAUGUAAGGUGGCGCGCACCAAAUCCCCGAAGAUGCUACGUUCUCUCGUUUAGAUAUGUGCUCUGCAAUGCCUCACCUUGCUUAAAUGUACACCAAAGAUGCGCUCUUAUUGAAAAUGGCUCAUGUGCUGGAGCGAAAAGGAACGAUCUUUCGCUGCAGAUUCGCUUUAUUGGAAAAACCCAGGCAGAGAAAUGGAAAACCAUGGAAUUACGACCUUUGGACUAGGUUUUAGACUCCAAAAUAAAGGUUUAUAAAUUCAUGGAGUGGCAUCAGUUCUUCAUGAAGUCGAGAACCGAAUCGAGGCCUUGGAUUUCGGAUCAUUUGCCUUUAUCUUGAGACCCAAUGGAGCUGAAAUCUCUGUGCCAGGGAGAAAACCAGAUGGAGCACGGGAAGGAGGAGGAGGAGGAGUUUCCUGAACCAAGGAUCAUAAAUCUCCUGCAAGCCCAAGUCCAAGCUUUGGCCAAAUGGAAAGCAGAUGGAAGGGUGAGAAAAGUAUUCUCUAAAGGAAAUCUAUCCUCCAGAUAUACUCCCGAUAUUCGGUAGAGAAUCGUGCCAUGUUCCCCCCCGAGCUGUCGACCCAAAAAAAUGAGUCCACUUUUAAUUCUUGCAACCCACAUUUGAGCGCCAAUGAUUCAUUUGAAAAUGUGUGUGUGUUGCAAUCGUAUUCCCCUGCCGCAGCGCGAUUCCCGGGCCGCGAUUCAAUGGACCUUUUCAAAUGCCAUUCAUUAUGCCACUAAACUUAUUAGCUACAAAUGUGUCUCCUCAAUGUGUCACGUUACAGUCCCCCAACGGCGGCAUAAAUCACUUGCCAAAACAGCGGCAGCGGCAGUCCCACUGGCGGGCAGACAG
Drosophila pseudoobscura is the source of this 1578-nucleotide long non-coding RNA. RefSeq lists it as uncharacterized. NCBI's taxonomy places the organism in Eukaryota, Metazoa, Arthropoda, Insecta, Diptera, Drosophilidae. The transcript is spliced from 4 exons. The record is from RefSeq and is a predicted model, not a curated record.